Molecule: ribosomal RNA, 249 nt
Filed under: Triticum aestivum (bread wheat)
Lineage: Eukaryota; Viridiplantae; Streptophyta; Magnoliopsida; Poales; Poaceae
Description: partial small subunit ribosomal RNA
Source: RNAcentral
AUGACGGUCAACAAGGCACAGGGGCAGACUAUCCCGAACGCGGGUAUAUACUUGCCCGAGCCAGUGUUCUCUCAUGGGCAGUUGUAUGUCGCGCUAUCUAGAUCAACUGCUAGAAAGAACAUCAAGAUCCUUACCGCCCCGGCUACAGACAAUGAGAAAAAUGUCUCAAACGAUAGUAGAAGGAAUAGCUCAAAUUACAUUGGUAAUUACACGAGGAACAUCGUCUAUAGGGAGGUACUUACAUCAUAG